UGGCUCAGAUAGUAAAGAAUCUGCCUGCAAUGCAGGAGAUCCAGGUUCAAUUCCUGG
RNAcentral lists this transfer RNA (57 nucleotides) under Bos taurus (domestic cattle). It matches the Rfam family "tRNA", at positions 8 to 63 of the family's 71-position model. Rfam says of the family: Transfer RNA (tRNA) molecules are approximately 80 nucleotides in length. Their secondary structure includes four short double-helical elements and three loops (D, anti-codon, and T loops). Further hydrogen bonds mediate the characteristic L-shaped molecular structure. tRNAs have two regions of fundamental functional importance: the anti-codon, which is responsible for specific mRNA codon recognition, and the 3' end, to which the tRNAs corresponding amino acid is attached (by aminoacyl-tRNA synthetases). tRNAs cope with the degeneracy of the genetic code in two manners: having more than one tRNA (with a specific anti-codon) for a particular amino acid; and 'wobble' base-pairing, i.e. permitting non-standard base-pairing at the 3rd anti-codon position. The record is from Rfam by way of RNAcentral. Lineage: Eukaryota; Metazoa; Chordata; Mammalia; Artiodactyla; Bovidae. RNAcentral also lists the same sequence under 5 other names.